AUGUGGCGUGUGGAGCGACCUGACGCGGCCGCUGAAGCUGGCCUUCCGCUUAGCCGUUGUGGGCACGUACAAGGCCGAGGCGAGCACCAUCAACUUCUGCGGCACGCCGGAGGAAGCGCGCCACCAGAUCAACGCGUGGGCGGCUCAGGUGACGAGGAACCUCAUCGACUCCGUCCUCCCCCUAGAUCGAUAUAUCCGACGACGACUCGGGUCGUGCUCGGCAACGCCAUGUACGCUAAGGGCAAGUGGGAGGACCGGUCAUUCGACAGGAGGCACACCGCGCACAAACCCUUCUGCCGGCUCGACUGCAGCCAAGUUAACAUGUGGUUCAUGCAGAGUUGGAAGCCGCGGUUCGUCGCCAUGCAUGAUGGGUUCAAGGUGCUCAAACUCCGGUACAAGAUGACGACGCCAGAUCACGAGGGCACCACACUGGAACAGGCGCCCCCUCCUCCUUUGGGCCAUGGUCACCAUGGCGUCCACGGCCAUGGUGCUCCCUAUGUCCAUUGCCAUGUGAGUGAUGCGUACAACGAUGGGGGUCCAUCUCCAAAUUAUCUUCCCACGGGACCCCCACCAUACUUUCGUCAUCGUCGUCACGACCCCCCUCCCUAG
This 609-nucleotide ribosomal RNA is filed under the name Triticum aestivum (bread wheat). RNAcentral's name for it is "partial small subunit ribosomal RNA". The record is from RNAcentral. Lineage: Eukaryota; Viridiplantae; Streptophyta; Magnoliopsida; Poales; Poaceae.